CUGUCUAUACUUCACCUUUGUUCUAGAGUUUUUCAUAAGUUUUCAAAAUAAAACUCAGAGUUCCUAGCAAUAAUCUCUCAAGUCUCUCUGUAUGUGGUAUUUGUGGAUCCUUACCAUAAUGUCACUUUCCUAUAGCUAAUGGAAUAUUUAAGUGGAGCUCAUAGGAGUGAAAAACAGCUUAUACAUAUGUUGUCUAAACGAGCCAUGGAUCCAAAGGAACUCAGCAUAUAAUUAAAUCAAGAUGUGCAUGUGUGGUGGAGUAAAUGAUAGUGAUGAUAAAAAUGUAUAAGUAAUAAUAAAACUUAGUUCUCAUUGCUCCUCAUAUUGCUAUUUCUCCUCCUCUUUGAUCUUUGCUUUGGGAGAACAUGGGCUAUCUUUUUCUCUUUUUUUUUCAGGUGGGUAGUAGAUACCCCUAAUUCUACUGUCGGACACUUGUCCAUUUUUUCCGCUCACGUGGGCAUCUUUGUACCCCUAAUUCUACUCCGGACACUUGUCCAUUUUCACCUCUUGUCUCACUCUUUUUCUUUCUUUUUCGAGGUUCGGGGCACUUGCCCCUUUUUAUUUCCUCGCAUAUUUUUGCAUAACCCAUGCCUCUUCUGUAUUGAAUCUUUUUAGAGAGAGAGAAUAACAAUAUCUGGGACAGUGAGUGAUAAUAUUUUUAGCAAUUUUAAUGAGUGGUGAUGGAUGGUGUAGUAGAUGUGUGCAAGUGAAUAUCUUAAUUUAACCACAUGAAAAGCUCCUAAGGGUCUACACACCUCGAUCAAACUCAAUGUAAGUGUAGUAAAAGAUGGUAUAGCAAAUAUGGCUGUGGUAGGUAGUUUGGUGUGCUAGGAACUCAUCAUGUGAUUUGUAAGUUUUCAAAAUAAAUCACCAGAACUUAGUGUAGUAGGAACAAGAUAAACAGCAGCUCAACUUUAUAUCAUGCCUUUCUCUUACCUAGACUUUAGUUUUAUGCUUCCCAAAGAUAGUAAAUUCAGUUUUAAUAAUUCUUGGAAGAACUCUAAUGUAAAAGCUAGGUACUUGAAAGUAAGCAACCAGAGCAAUUGUUCAUUAUUUCCAUCAUGUAUCUUUUUGGUCUUUUAUUUUUCUAGAGAUUAAACUUAGCAUGGAAAUAAAGCACACUCAUCUACACACUCUUUUUAUUUUGUUUUCAUGUUUAUAAAAUGCAGUAAAUUAAAGUAAGAAAAUAUUUAUUGGGUUUUCUAAGUUUUUCCUUUUAAGAUAAAAUACUAAAAUAGAAAAGAAUAAAUAAGAAGAGUAAAUAAAAACUUACUUGAUAAAUUUGGGAGGAACUCCCCCAAGCUGGAUGUUGACGUCGGUCUUACCCGAUGUUCCAGAACCGCAUCAUAGUUGUGAUGUUGUCAUUCAUUGUUGUUGUAUCUUGUCUCAGCUCUUCUACUGCAGCAGCAUGGUCCUGGUUCCAUUUUUGUUGUUCUUCUAGGAGUCUUCCAUGUUCUGCUUGCGUGUUCUGGAUGUCGAGGAGGGUGUUGUCGGUACGAGUGAAGAAAGCACCGGCCUCUUGAUAGUAGUCAUUUGUGAAAGCGUAGGAGGCGUCGGAGUAUCGUCCUGCAUCAAAUUGGGGCGGAGGUCUGGAUCCUGAAGCUCCAUAUGGAUCAGUGGAGUACCUGCCCGUAUGAAAAGGCGGGUUUGUCCACUGGUGAUCUUGGCUCUCCGGCCAUGUCUCCUCUGUUGGCUCUUAUGGUUGCGCAUGACGAACCCAUGGGUCUCGAAGGACUCGAGGGUUGUAAUCGCAAUAAUGCAGGUGCGCUGCUUCUUCUGGUCCGGGGUCAGCUCCAUACCAGGUGCGUUCUCGAUGGGUGGUCAUCCUUUCAGAUGCCACUCGCUGUGGAGCUCUCUGGUUCACUGGUGUUGCUGUAAUCUCAAUCAAAAAAUUUUGGACAACGUAUAGGCCAAGGUUCGCGUUAGGUAACCGAAUCUUGCCUCUAUCAUCAUAUAGCAUAUAUAUUAUAUUCCCCUCUUUCUUUAACAUCCGAGCUUGUCUAAAUGUGUCAUAGCCAUGGUAAAUUCUUAAUUCCUCUAUGAAAUCCAACGAUGAGUUUUCUAGUAAGUGAAGAUUAAAGGCUAGACGAGUGAUAAGUGAAGUACAUCCUACUGGUCCCUGCAGACUAGGUAUACUAAGCCAAUGAGAAACUAAAAGUGUAACAGGUGAAGUAGGUACUUUAUUAAUAGCAGCAUAUAAAAGUUGUAAAUCUCCUACUCUUACUUUCCUAAUAUCAUCACGAUAGAAAAGAUUGUACCCAAGCCAUUUGUGGAACAUCCUAAGAGUGGGGUGCUCCAUGUCACUGGUUCGGGCUUGACUAUAAAAAUUAUCUCUAGAUAUUUCUCUCCAAAACUAGUGUCUCUCAAAGUUGGGUAAAUCGGAGUCAAUGUUCAGGAUGCAUCUUGAAGAGAAACCAAGAUGGUCACUCAGCUCUCUCCAAGACAACAUAAUCUCCUGUUUGAACAUCCGAAAAACAAUUCCCCCUCAUAAUAUUGUAAGGUGCAAAGAAAUUCGAGGGUGAGAAGACGAGAACCCAGCUCAGUUAUAUUCCAAAAAUUUGUCCAACCUAUCAUCUGGAAAAUUAAGUCAAAUUCAGUGUCCAUACCUGUUUCUUGUAGUAGGAUUGGAUCGAGAGUAGGGGUAUGAAUGAAUUCUUUAUUCUUCAAUUGCUGAUAGACUUCCUUCUCUCUUCGGGUCUUCAGUCCAAGGUCUCCUAUCUUGAGAAGGACCUUAACUUGCUGACCUGAUGAAGAUGAUGGAGCUUGUGUGGGUGUCGGGUCGACGCUCAUCUCUGAUGGCUGUGAGGAGUGUCGGGCUGAACUCCUUGUACCAAUGUUCUUGAGAGCCUUCCCUGCAUUUUUCACCUUUUUAAACAUCCUGCAAACAAAAGAUGGCAAAAACACAACUAGUGGAAAAUGUGAGAGAAAAUGUUAGUGGUCAGCUGUCCGGAAUGUCAGUAGUCCAGGGGUUAAUCGUUCAAGACAAGUUUCUAUUUUGGUAGAACCUCCCCCUAAACAACUUUUACAUCCGCUUAGACAGCGGGAUCACUUCUUGCUAGGUGAUACUCACUCUCUAUCAACUUCUUUCCCACUCUUCUCUUUCUCUCUACUCUCUUCUCUCUUCACUACAAGAGCUCUUUCUGGAAACUGAUACUUGUGUGGUUUUCUGGAGUGCUUGUGUGGAGAGGAUGGAGGUAGAAGGUGGCUAUUUAUAGGAGGAAAAGGGAGCAGGGCGGGCGCCCUUGGUAGGUGGGCGGCGCCCACUUGUGAUGCCCAUCGUGGGUGUGCCUCCUCCACUUGCUUCCAUGCUUUGAUCUUACGCAGAAUAAUGUUGUGUUGGUGGUGGUUGGACGGUGGAAAGAUGUCUGGUGAGUGGAAACAUAUUGGUGGAUGAAAUUAUGUUGAUGGGAUGUAUGUGAGGUGAAGUAUAUGACAUGUGGGACCCAAAGAGUGUGGGUCAUGCUUCUAGAAGAUUAAUAUAGUUCAUUAUAAUGCAGGACAAUCUAUGAAAAUUGAAAAUUAAUUAAAUAUGAUGUAUCGGAGAAUAUUUUUUGUGCCUCCAUAAUAAUUAAUAAAUAUGGGUUGUUACACACCACGAAUAUUAUUCAUAUGUGGCUUUUUGAUUAUUAUACUAAUGCUAUGAAUAUAUAUGACUAAUGCAAGAAUUAAUUAUGCAAGAAUUUAAACAUGAGAAAAUUAAUAAUGCGGAUAAAUACUGAUUUACCUCCCGGUGAGGGUUUGGGAUUUUUAGGUCCCCCAAGCUGGACCUCCAAAUCUUUUAAUCUUCUGAAUUACCUUCCUCCGGAGAUGGUGUCUCCAGUGGUUCUUCAUGAACUUCCUUCACUGUAGAGUCUCUCUCUAGUCUGGGUUUGAAUGUGAAGUGUUCUUCUUGUCCAUUUAUGUUGAACUUGAUUUCUCCUUUCCCGACAUCAAUGUGGGCAUUGGCAGUGCUCAGAAAUGGCCUUCCAAGGAUGAUGGACACUUUUGAGUCAUGACUCAUGUCCAGUACUACGAAGUCUACUGGCACCAGGAAAUCUCUGAUCUUGACUGGAAUGUUCUCGGCGAUGCCCAACGGUUGUCGAACCGAUUGAUCCGCUAGUUGUUGGCACAUUGAUGUUGGUUCUAAGGUUGCAUGCUCAAGCUUUUUGUAGACUGAUGCUGGCAUCACACUGACACUUGCUCCGAGAUCACAAAGUGCAUUGUUGAAGUGUUGGUUUCCGAUCGAGCAGUCAAUAGUGGGACAUCCUGGAUCUUCCUUCUUCUUUGGUGGCUUAUUGAGGAUGGCCGCACUACAUUCUUCCGUCAGCUUGAUAACCUCAGUGGUGGGCAGUGGUCUCUUCUUGUUAAGAAUAUCACUGAUGUACUUUGCAUAUGUAGGUACCUGUAUGGCAUCGAGUAGAGGUAUGUUGACAUAUAAUUUCUGAAUGACCUCUACAAACUUACCAAACUACUCAUCUGACUGCAGUCCUGUGUUUCUUCUGGGAAAUGGCAAAUAGUUGGUGUCGUAAAAAUCUUUCCUCAUUUCUCUAGUUCUUGGUGGUUGUAGCAGAUCUUCUGCUUCAACUGGGCUUUCUUCUUCUAUCGCUGCUGGUUGCACUGGUGCUGAGGUUCUUUGUUUCUCUUUUGGGUAUGGAGGAUCUCUGGUAGCUUUACCUCCUCUAGUAGUUAUAUUCUUUACCUGCUUAAGGUUAGUAGCAACAGGCAGUGCAGCAGCUAUCUUUAUUAAUUUAAGCUCUACCCUUUUAUUAAGAGUGUUUUGCUCAUCAAAGGCAGUUAGUAGAAAAUCCAUUUUAUUGUGUAUAUCUUUUAGAGAUGAUUCAUUUGUAUCUAGCCUUUGUUUAACUUCAUCAUUAAUUUUGGUUUGUUGAGCAAAUAUCUCUUUUAAUGAAAGUUGCUUGAAAGUAUUACCUGAAUUCAUACCUUUGCUAGUGGGUUGACUCGAAGUUGGUUGAUAUUUAUAUGCUGUCUCAAUGGCCCUUUGAUCUUCUUUGAACUUGGCCCUCUGGUCAAUCCAAUGGAGCAAAUUUUCCAUCUUAGUUGAUAAUGCAUUUACUUCUUCUGGUAUUUCUUCAGUUUGAUGACAUUGUUGAGCUUUAUCUUGGAACCAGCUUUGAUUUUCUGCUAUCUUAUCCAAAAGUAUCUCUGCUUUUCCAGUUGUAAGCUCCAAGAAUGAUCCUUUAGCAGAUGCAUCUAGGCACUCACGAGCCUUCUGGGUUAAUCCAUGGUAGAAGGUCUGCAUAAGCAACCAUGUGGCCAUUCCAUGGUGAGGACAAUCUGAUAUGUAUCCUUGAAAACGCUCCCAUGCUUCUGAAAUGGCUUCUGUCUUCUGCUGUUGGAAACUGACAAUAUUUCCUCUUAAGGCAGUUGUUUUGCCUAUAGGGAAAAACUUUGAUAGAAAGGCAUGUGACAAGUUCGUCCAGUUGUUGAUGUUAUCUUGAUGAGUGUAGAACCACUUCCUCGCUUUCCCUUCUAGUGAGAAUGGAAAAAGGCGAAGUAGUAUGACGUCUUUGUCAACUCCGUUGAUGUGGAUUGUGCUCCCAAUCUCUAAGAAAUUCUGCAAGUGUGCACUGGCAUCUUCAUGUGCCUUUCCACUCAAUUGUGUAGCUUGCACCAAAUUGAUGAGGCUUGACAUGAGCUCAAACUCAGGUAUUCCUUCUUCUACUGCCAAUCUUGGACCAGUUGAAAUGUUCUCAAGGCUUGGAGCAGAGAAUUCUUGCAAGGUCUUUUGUGCCAUAGCUUUAGCAAUUGGUAGCUAGCUUCUUCUUCUCUUGAUUGCUUUGGUUCUGAUGAUGAAGAGUUGAAUGUACCCAAAGUCAAUCCUGAUAUACCAUGUAUAAAAAUGUAAACAUAGAAAAACAACAGGGUGAACCUGCCAAAGCAGAGGUGCCUUGUUAUGAUUUCUCACUUAGUAGCUGUUUUAUGCAAUUAUUUCUCUAUAGUCUAGUCUAAUAUUUUAUAUGAAUAACCUUGAUUGAUUUUCUGGCUUUCCUUGCCGUUCCUAAGUAUUACCCUUUUGUUCCCUUCUAUGACUUAUUCAUGAGACUCGUAUAAUUCCCCAGCAACGGCGCCAGAAAUGCUUGUUGACACUAGCUAACACCACUUAGAUACUAGGUUGUCAUCCCCAGCAUGGUGCUAGAGUGUACAGAGAUAUUUAUAAAUGUAAAGCCUCUCUAGAAAAUAAUCUAUUCUAUCCGCAAGCGCACAGAUAAAACACCUCAUUGUAGCAUUUCACCAGGAUAAGUAUUCCAGGUAUCGUUAUUUAUAAUUUUGCUCAAGGGAUGAAAUUAAAAUAAGGGGGCAAAAUCUAUCAAGGCAUAGACUAGAGAUAAACUUGCAAGAACAUGAUUACUAAUGAGAAACUCGUCACACAGUCACUUACUUUAGCAGGGGGUCUACUUUAGCAGGGGGUAAACCAUAAAGAUAAUGAUAAUGAAUUAUAAGUUUAUGGGUAGAUAACACAGCGAUUAGAAAAUAGACUACUCCUCAUAUAUGUAGAUGAUGUCGCAUUAGCUAGAGAAUGGAUUCUAAGUUAUCUACUAACUACUAAGUCAUAAUCUACUUUAGUUAUCUACAAGAUCAUAUAUAGCAUAAAAGACUCUUUAUUCAUGUAUAAGGAACAUUGAUAAAGUAAAUCAGAGCAUCGCAUGACUUACUCCACAAUACCGGUUCUGCGUGUCCUAUCAACGGAGGGUGGACUAUAUAAGAAUCAACGAAGCUGUCACUAUCACGAACUACCACACGACCCGGCCAAUAGGAUACAUUUGCAGAUAAAUAACAUCUAAGCACCAUGCUUACAUGUGAUCUAUCACCUAACUCCCUCGCGUCAAGAGCUAAGCGCUUUGCAAACUUAUACAUAAACUCAUUAUCAAUUAGAACUAUAUCAAAUAUAGAACUAGAAUAAACUAAAAACAUAAUAAUUAGAGACAUAAUGCAAUUAGAACAAAGAAUUAGAGAAAGAUAUGAAUAAUACCAAUCUUUAUUACCGAAGAUCCGAAUCCAGAGCGUAGUGCUCUACUUCUCUAAUUGCUAUCUAAUCAAACCUCUAAACUUGAAGGAUUACGGAGUAGCUAAUUCUAAUUCUCUGUGGGAGAGAAGCUCUAAACCCUAACUUUGAUGGCUACCUCUGAAUAAUGAUUUCUUCUCUUCUCCUCUCUCCUCCAGGGGCCAGGGGGUCUGGUUUUAUAGUCCCCUCAAGUGAACGUGGGCCAUUGGAUCAAACCGACAUAGAUUGUAUGGUUGAGAUUGAUCCUUUAGGUCGGUGGAGCGUAGUCCCGAAGCAGAGUCUCGAUUGGGUUCCAACCCUGGGCGGGCGUCCAAGGGGGGUGGGCGGCCGCCCUGCCCCCGAGCCCGAUCGUGCUCUCGUUCGUUCCCGUGGCUUCUGGACUCUUCUAGAUUGAGAAAAAUUGUGCGGCACGUAAUUAUCUCGUUGUAAACAUGACAUGUGGGCCUUCUCUCCAUAUUCUCUGAUAACCCCCUGCAGAAAUAGAUAAACACCAAAGCUCGUGGAAUUCUGUCAGAUAAAACCCUAAUUCUAAAUGAUUGUUUCAUAUUGAUCCUUUUCCAUGUUUAUUUGAUUAUUAAUUUUAGUACUUAAGGACCGUCAAGAGGGACUAUAAAACCAGACCCCCUGGCCCCUGGAGGAGAGAGCCUCUCAACCCUAAUUCAUUAUUCUCAAGGAAGAAGAAGCCUCUGAUCAAGCCUAGAGCCACCACAUCAAUUAGACAUCUAGAUUAGCAUAGCUACAUAGGAUUAGAACUAGAAGGAGUCAAUCUUCGAUUGGUUUCCGGAUCUGUCAAGAGGAUUCUUGGUAAUUCUCUAAUUGUGCUUCUAAUUGUUCUUCUAAUCAUCUUUGUUCUUCAAUAUUAUGAAUAUGACUUUGUUCUACUUCAAUAUAUUGCUUAUGACUUUGCUCUACUUGCUUAUAUUCAAGAUUAUAUUGUUCUUAGUUUAUCAUAGUUAUGUACUUGGCUUAGUUAGAUUGGAUCUAUAUACAUGUUUAGGAUCGUAUAGCGUUUAUCCAUUGGAUCCAUGGGUAAAUGAUAGAUAUUGUGUAGGUGUGGUGCUUAUACCGUAUUUAUCUGCGAUUGUACCCAAUACGCCAGAUCGUGGGGUAGUUCGUGAUAGUGACAACUUCAUUGAUUCUUAUAUAGUCCCCCUCUCGUGUAUUGGGCUGGCAGAGCAACAUUAUUACAGGGGAGUGAUUGCCAUGUUUCUCAUUUACCUUGCUAAUAUCACUAUGCAUGGGCGUAGUCUUGUCUCCCAAUGAUUGCUAAGUAUGCUUGCACUAACUAUGAUAAUGCUAGACUAUAUAGUUGAGAAUAACUUAGGAAAUAUUCUUGUAGUUCGUUCUAAUUCCAUGCUAAUGAAUUUCUAGAAUAUCUAAUUGAGGUGCUUAUCAUAUUUAUUAUGUGGCUAAGUUAUGCUGAUCAGAUUAAUUAUCUUUAUCACUAUUCAUUACUUCAUAUAUCUUUUAUGUGACAUUUAUCCAUGUAUGAAAGAGUUAGAUAAAUGUUCUCAAUUAUACAUGCAAUGAUAGAUACUCAAUCUCAUAUUCUAUUCUGUAAUCAAUAUUGAUGAUUGCUAAUCUCUUCCUAGUGGUAAAAAUAUAAAUAACGAUACCUGGAAUACUUCCCGGUUAAAAUGCUACAUCGGUAUUAAUCUGUGCGCUUGCAGAUCCUAUUCAUUAUUUAUUUAGAAGAGCAAUUGCAUAUUUCAAUACCGAGUCUCUCAUGUCAUGCUGGGGAUGACAACUUGGCUUAAGUGGUAUGAGGGGUAGGUUUGACAUUUUUGGCACCGUUACUAGAAUUAGAAAACUAAGUCUACUUUUGGUAAUGAUGUUAAGAAUAUCCAACAAGCAUUUUUGGCGCAGUUGCCGGGGAAGGUUGAUUACUAAUCAGGAAUGGAUAUAGAAUUUUGAGUUAUCAUUCGCAUCACUAAUAUGAUUGAGCUUAUCUAUUCUCUCAUACAGUUUUACCCCAACAUUUUUCUAUUUUUAUCUUAUGCAGGGGAAUGUAUGAAUAGAAGACAUCUUCCAGGAAAUUUUGUUGACAAUCCCAAAGCGUUAUUCAGAAAAAUGAGAGCCAAGCUCAAGAAGAGAUCAUCAACACUUCAGCAACAAGCUUCAUCCAAUCAAGAAGAUCACCGGAACUUGUCUUCAGAGUUCGAAGCCAUAGCGAACAAAUCAAUUCGUGAGUUCUCAGCUCCCACUACAGACAACAUCCGCACUGGACCUACUACAGAGAUCAAUGGCAACUUUGAGCUCAAGCCUGGACUUAUCAACAUGGUGAAAUCCAACCAGUUCUGUGGGAAGGCACACGAAGAUGCUAGUGCUCAUCUCCAACACUUUCUGGAGAUUUGCAGCACAUUCACAAAAUCAGGAGUCCCCAGAGAUGCUAUACUACUUCGCCUCUUCCCAUUCUCACUGUUAGGAAGAGCGAAACAGUGGUUCUACGCUACAAAGGAGAAGAAUACUACGUGGGCACUCUGCUCCACGAAUUUUCUGGCUAAGUUCUUUCCCAUGGGCAAGACCAAUGCUCUCCGUGGGAAGAUUACAAGUUUUCAGCAACAACAUGAUGAAUCCGUUCCAGAAGCAUGGGAGCGCUUCCAAGACUAGAUCCUAGAAUGUCCCCAUCAUGGAAUGGAGAGUUGGCUACUGAUGCAGACGUUUUAUCAUGGGCUCGGCAACAGUGCCCGAGAAACCAUGGAUGCUGCAGCUGGAGGAGCAUUCCUAUCACUCACCAUACCACAAGCCACAGCUCUUAUGGAAAAGAUGGCGUCCAACCAAGGCUGGAAUGAAGAGAGGACCCAGACACGCAAGAGAGGUGGAGGUAUGCAUCAGCUCAAGGAGGUAGACAUGCUGUCUGCAAAGCUAGACCUGCUCAUGAAGAAGCUCGAUGAUAGAGCUGGAGAUAAGAAAGAAGUUAUGCACAUCUAUGACCCUCACAUGACUUGUGAGGAAUGUGGAGAUACUGGACACUCAGGCAGUUACUGCCCUGAGAUGCUUGAGGAUGUGAACUACAUCAACAACAACAACAACUAUUACAACCGUCCUCAACAAAAUUAAGGUUGGAAUCAACAGAGGCCUAACUACUCAGGUAAUUAUCAAGGUAAUAAUUCUUACAACAAUAAUAAUAAUUUUUCACCUCUGAGAGAGUUAGUGUCUAAUCAAGGAAAGCUAAUGGAUAACCUAUCUAAGAAAUUGGCAUCUAAUGAUAAAAUGCUAGAAAAUAUAAAUAAUAGAAUGGAUAAUUUCUCUACUGCCACCAAGAAUCAAAUUAGCUUUAAUAAAAUGAUUGGAUCCCAGUUAAAUCAAAUAGCUACUGCUGUUCCUACUACAAACCCUGGUAUACCAACACAACCGGAAGGAUUAGAAUCUGCAAAUCUUGUAGACAUGUUUGAUGCAGGUAAUUGGAGUAACCCCAUCACUGAAGUUACUACUGACCUUCUGCCGGUCAAGAGAGGUGAUCCAGGACGCCCCGUCAUCCCGAUCGCCAUCGGCAUGGUGGACGUCCUAGAAGCACUCUGCGACUUUGGCUCUAGCAUCAACAUUAUGCCCAGGGUACUCUAUGAAAAAUUCUUUACAUAUCCUUUAUUAGAAACAACCAUGUGUUUAUAGUUUGCAGAUCAGGCGUUAACUUUCCCAAAAUGAAUAUUGAAGAACCUUUGUGUCCGAGUUGGUACCUUAUAUGCCCUAGCAGACUUCGUGGUGAUAGAGACCGGUAAUGAUGAGAGAGCACCCAUUAUCUUAGGGAGGCCAUUCUUAAACACCGCGGGAGCUGUCAUCUACGCCAGUUCUGCCAAGAUCAGUUUCUACAUCAAAGGGAGGAAGGAGACGUUUUUCUUCAAGAACAAGACUACACAAAUCCCAGAUCAAUCUAGACGUGAAUCAAGGAAGAGGACCAAUAGGAGGAACAGGAACAAGCAAGUGUGGACCGAGUCAGCUAAGAUGGUCACUGCAGUUCAUGGAGGUCAAGAUCAUCAACUUAAGUAACCGUGUCUGACCAAGAAGGAUGACCCAGGAAUGCCAAGCAUCUAUUGCUCCAUAAAUGGAUACAACUUCUAUAAGACGACUUGCGACACCGGAUCGGGCGUCAACAUAAUGGCCGCAGUCACCUAUCGGCUCUUGUUCGGAACCAUGCCCUUAAAGCCAACAUACAUUCAGCUCCAGAUGGCAGAUCAGACAUUUCAAGAAGUUAAAGGAACAGUAACUGAUGUCCCAGUCAAAAUAGAUGAUCAUUUUGUCUACACAGACUUUCAAGUUAUUGACAUGGGAGAAGACGAGUACGAUCCACCCAUCAUCCUUGGAAGACCGUUCCUCAGCACUGUUAAAGCAAUCAUCUACAUUGGAACUGGAGAAGUCCAUAUGCACUUCCCCUCAGAGAAGGUAUGCCGCUAUUUCACUGACCCUAACUAUAUCGUUGAAGAAUCUAAGCAGGUCAGAAAGCGACGCAUCCGAAACCAGAGGAGGCAAAUCAUCAAGGACGGAUGGGCAGACUACGAAGGAGAAGUAGUAAGGUCAGAAGACAUACAGUUUAAACAGAACUAUCCUGAGGAGACUGUAGCACCGAGUCAGGUGUGGAGAGAGAAGAUAACCAUACACGAAGAGGAGGCACCGCCGGAAGUACCGACUCCACCACCCAACGAAUCCCAGGACAACUAGAAAACGGAGAGUCCCGUUCAGAGGACUUAAAAACACCGAACGCCUUGCCAAGAGGUAACCUUGGUAGUUAUCCUCCUUUCAAUUAUUCAAAUAGUUUACUUAAUUAGUUAUAUUUAUACUAUCCUAAAGAAAAUAAAAAUGUUAAAACAGUAAGCCCCAUGCGAGUAUACGAGUGGCAUGAAACCCACAAGUACAUUCAUUGUGGUGGUAUAAAAAUAAAAUAAAUAUUUCUUUUCUGCUUUAUAAAAUGAAAAUAUAAAAAUAGAGAGUAACAUUUAUUGAGGAGUUUCAACAUGAUACAGGCUAGAUAUUUAUGCUAACACCUAAUCAGUUCCACAAAGCUUUGUUGUCUAUUUGAGCUCCACAGAAAUCAAGAAUCAAGAAGACUAGCAGACGGAGGACAUUCUAAUCGCUGUCAGAAUGCUGCUGACUUUCAAAUACACCUCUGCCACCUGCUAGCUACAUCAAGAGAAAUUACGUCAAAAUUCAGCUUGGGGGAGAGCACCCCCAUUUAUCCCGAUAAGUAUAUCUAUCUAUCUUUAUACUUAUACUAUAUUAAAUAUACAUAACUAUGGAAAACCAAAUAAAGAUUUUAUGCUUAUAUAUAUAUAUAUCUUUUUCUUAGUGUGUUUAAUAAAUAAAUAAAGUGGCUAUGCUAAUCUGAAUAUUAAUAAUAAAACUCUAGCAUGGAUAUGAUGAAUAGUUGCUCUGCCUAAUUUUAAAAUUUACAGUUCUCUCUCAAGUUUAGACAUAAUUGUUAUAAUUUAAAGCUUGCUCUAAACCUAAACUUGUGGGAAGAAAAUUUGAUCUAAAGUCUAAGUUGUUAACGGAUAUGAUAUGGGAAGGUUGAGCUGUUGUUUAUUUGUUCCUAGAGAUGCUAGAAUUCUGGAGAAUUUUCUCUUUUAAAAUCUUUAAAAUAUCACAUGAUGAGUUCCUGUAUGAUGAGAGUUUAAAUUCCUACCACACCCAUAUAUACAUGUUUGCUAGACUUUGAGCCACACAUUUACUUUUUAUUGCUUAUGAGCAUUAAGUGUGGUCAAGCUGUGUAGACCCUUAGGAGCUUGUCAUGUGGUUAAAUCAAGAUUCACUUGCACGUUCACUCAUACAUGCUCCGGAAGUACCAUCCACAUAUAUCCACUCAUUUCCAUCUCCAGAAUCACCCAAAAAUAUUCUACUCCUAACCGGGAGAGAAUAGCCAAAAAUAUUUCUAUUUUUCCCCUGUGAAAUAAAUUCUCAAGUUAUCUUGUUACUACCACUUGCUAUAUUAUCUCAAGAGAUGAGUGCUCUAAUAAAAAAAGAAGAGAGAAAAAAAGUAUACGAGGAAAUAAAAAGGGGCAAGUGCCCGGAACCUCGAAAGAAAAGAAAAAGUGAGACGAGAGGUAAAAAUGGACAAGUGUCCGACAGUAGAAUUAGGGCUACAAGAUACCCACCUGAGAGGAAAGAAAAUGAAAAAAAAGAAGAGCAUCUCAUUCUCCUCACAAAAUUUCAAAAAGCACGGUAGGUAUGUAUCCCCUCAAAGAGCAAAAGUAGAAUUAGGCUUUCACCAUUGUUAUCACCACCAUCAUACACCAUUCAUUCGCCACACAUGCACAUCUUGAUUUGACUUAUUGAUUUGUUUCUUUGGAUCCAUGGUUUGACUAUGCAAUAAAUGUCUUGUAAGUAUGUGUAUUUUAUCUCCCACCUAUGAGCUCCAGAUAUCAAGCCUUAUUAGAGUAGGGUGAGAGAGAAGGUCAUGUCACUAUGCCUUAUACCACAAAUACUACAUAUUUUGAGAGAAGGCAUAUACCAUCACUGCCUUGGUAAGGAUCCAGAAAUACCACAAAAUAGAGAUUUGAGAGAGUCAUACAAGGAAUCUCUGAGUUUUAUUUGAAAAUCUGCAAAAACUCCAGAGCUAUAGCUGAUCAAGAAUAAGAGACAUGACACUUGAUUAGACUGUUCUAUCUUUUAACUACUCAAGACAGAAGUGACGGUUACAAGUCCCAUGGUGAAAGCUAAAAUGAAUAAGUUUUAAGUCUUGACAGUUUACUCUAACUCAGAGAUGAGACUUCAUUUAAAAGCAUGUGUACCGUCAACAUUUAAAGGUAUUGCAACAACUUCUAAUCCAUCUUUGAGUCUAUCCUUGCUCAGGGACGAGCAAGAGGUAAGCUUGGGGGAGUGUGUUGACGGUCCUUAAGUAUUAAAUUUAAUUAUCAAAUAAACAAAGAAAAGGAUCCAAAUGAAAUCAACAUCUAGACUUAGGGUUUUAUCUGACAGAAUUCCAUGACAGAAUUCCAUGAGUCUAUUUCUAUAGGGGGUUAUCAGGAAAUACGGAAGAAAGGCCCACACGUCGGGAUUACAUAGAGAUAUUAACGUGCCGCGCAAUUAUCUUACAUCUAGAAGACUCCAGAAGCCACGGGAAGGAAGCGGAGGCCGAACGGGGCCAGGCACUGGGCGCCCGCCCAGUUGCCCUGGGCGCCCGCCCCCAGUUGGACUCCAAUCAGGACACUCUUUCGGGAAAAGAUCUCCACCGACCUAAAGGAUCAAGGAUAACCGUUCAAUCAAUGUCGGUUUGAUCCAACGGCCCAUAUUCACUUGAAGGGACUAUAAAACCAGACCCCCUGGCCCCUGGAGGAGAGAGCCUCUCAACCCUAAUUCAUUAUUCUCAAGGGAGAAGAAGACUCUAAUCAAGCCUAGAGCCACCACAUCAAUUAGAUAUCUAGAUUAGCAUAGCUACAUAGGAUUAGAACUAGAAGGAGUCAAUCUUCGAUUGGUUUUCGGAUCUGUCAAGAGGAUUCUUGGUAAUUCUCUAAUUGUGCUUCUAAUUGUUCUUCUAAUCAUCUUUGUUCUUCAAUAUUAUGAAUAUGACUUUGUUCUACUUCAAUAUAUUGCUUAUGACUUUGCUCUACUUGCUUAUAUUCAAGAUUAUAUUGUUCUUAGUUUAUCAUGGUUAUGUACUUGGCUUAGUUAGAUUGGAUCUAUAUACAUGUUUAGGAUCGUAUAGCAUUUAUCCAUCGGAUCCAUGGGUAAAUGAUAGAUAUUGUGUAGGCGUGGUGCUUAUACCGUAUUUAUCUACGAUUGUACCCAAUAUGCCAGAUCGUGGGGUAGUUCGUGAUAGUGACAGCUUCAUUGAUUCUUAUAUAGUCUCCCUUUCGUGUAUUGGGCUGGCAGAGCAACAUUAUUAUAGGGGAGUGAUUGCUAUGUUUCUCAUUUACCUUGCUAAUAUCACUAUGCAUGGGCCUAGUCUUGUCUCACAAUGAUUGCUAAGUAUGCUUGCACUAACUAUGAUAAAGCUAGACUAUAUAGUUGAGAAUAACUUAGGAAAUAUUCUUGUAGUUCCUUCUAAUUCCAUGCUAAUGACUUUCUAGAAUAUCUAAUUGAGGUGCUUAUCAUAUUUAUUAUGUGGCUAAGUUAUGCUGAUCAGAUUAAUUAUCUUUGUCACUAUUCAUUACUUCAUAUAACUUUUAUGUGACAUUUAUCCCUGUAUGAAAGAGUUAGAUAAAUGUUCUCAAUUAUACAUGCAAUGAUAGAUACUCAAUCUCAUAUUCUAUUCUAUAAUCAAUAUUGAUGAUUGCUAAUCCCUUCCUAGUGGUAAAAAUAUAAAUAACGAUACCUGGAAUACUUCCCGGUUAAAAUGCUACAUCGGUAUUAAUAUGUGCGCUUGCAGAUCCCAUUCAUUAUUUAUUUAGAAGAGCAAUUGCAUAUUUCAAUACCGCGUCUCUCAUGUCAUGCUGGGGAUGACAACUUGGCUUAAGUGGUAUGAGGGAUAGGUUUGGCAUUUUUGGCACCGUUACUAGAAUUAGAAAACUAAGUCUACUUUUGGUAAUGAUGUUAAGAAUACCCAACACACUUGAUUGCUUGUACUUGGUUGAUCAUGAGAUGAUGUACUAGCUUGUUGAUCUUGCACUUGAGCACUACUUGUACUAGCUUGAUUUUGAUCAUGAGAACCACUAGUUUGCACAAUUGAGGUAGAGAGCACUUGAUAUUUGUCAUCUUCCACAUCAAUCACCUCUCUAGGCCUUCAGUCACCAAUGUACUUCAUUGAAAUGGCCAAUUGAGUGCCUCUAACAUCAUCUAGAUUUUCAUCUUCCUCUUGAGAGCCAUUGAUUUCAUCAAACUCAACAUUAUGCACCUCUUCAAUAGUACCACUAGCCAAAUUCUAAACUCUAUAAGCUUUGCUAGUAGUGGAGUAACCAAUCAAGAAAUCUUCAUCAUAUUUCUUUUCAAACAUGCUCAAUCUAGUGCCUUUUUUCAAUAUAUAGCAUUGGUAACCAAAAACCCAAAAAUAUGCAAUGUUGGACUUUCUUCCAUUCAAGAGCUCAUAUAGUGUCUUCUCCAUCAUUAGGUGACAAUAGAGUCGGUUGCUAUAGUAACAAGCCAUGUUGAUCGCUUCCGCACAAAAGGAAUGUCUCACAUUGUACUCACUCAACAUUGAUCUUGUUAUGUUAAUCAAGGUUCUAUCUUCCUCUAAACAAGGCCAUUUGAUUGUGGAGUGUACUUGGCCGAGAAUUGAUGCCUAAUUCCAAAUUCAUCACAAAGCUCAUGAACUCUUGUAUUCUUGAAUUCACUUCCAUUGUCACUUCUCACUUUCUUGAUGGUUGUUUCAAAUUCAUUGUGUAUUCUCCUGACAAAUGAUUUGAAGGUUGCAAAAUCACUCUUGUCACUAAGAAAGAAUACCCAUGUCUAUCUUGUGAAAUCAUCCACUAUCACAAAUCCAUAUUUGUUGCCACCAAGCUUGUGUAUGUCGUUGGUCCAAACAAGUCCAUGUACAAUAACUCAAAUGCCUUGCAAGUGCUCAUGAUGCUCGUCUUUGGAUGUGUGUUACCAACUUGCUUUCUAGAUUGACAUGUGAAAGGUCCUAAUAUGGCUAGAGGGGGAGUAAAUAGCCUAUUUAAAAAUUCUACAAACUCACUAGAGCAAGAGGUUAGUAAAUAACAAAGCAAAGCUUUUUGCUCUAGCUCUAAAAGGGGUGUUUGCAAGCCACCUAUCCAACAAUUCUAGUUGAUAUGAUCACUAGGCACACAAGAGCUAUGUCACUACAAGCUACACUAGUGAACUAGGCUACACAAAGCAAGACUAGCAACUAAACUAGUUACACUACUUUGCGGGAAGUAAAUGGAGAGGAAGAGAUAUUUAUACCGCCGUGUAGGGGAUGAACCAAUCAUAAUAAUAUGAAGUCCAAUCACCGGGAGAAAUCCAAAGAACAAUCACAAUGGAGACACACGAGUUUCUCCUGAGGUUCACGUGCUUGUCAGCACGCUAUGUCCCCGUUGUGUCGACCAACACUUGGUGGUUCAGUGGCUAAGAGGUGUAGCAUGAACCUCGUCCUCACUAGGACACCACAAGAACCUACCCACAAGUGCGGUAGCUCAAUGACAUGAGCAAUCCACUAAUGUUGCCUUUGGCUCUCCGCCAGGGUUGGCACAAACCCCUCACAAUCAUCGGGAGAUGGCCACGAACAAUCACCAACUCGUGCCAAAGCUCCUCCGCUGCUCCAAGCCAUCUAGGUGGUGGCAACCACCAAGAGUAACAAGGAAACCGCAGCCAAAUCGAUCCCCAAGUGCCACUAGAUGCAAUCACUCAAGCAAAUGCACUUAGAAUCACUCCCAAUCUCACAAAGAUGAAUAAUCUAUGAAGGUGAUGUUUUCUUAGGCUCACAAGAAUGUCAAGUAUGCUAGAAUGCCAAGAGAGUGAGCCCCAAGCCAGCCAACAACUAUUUAUAAGCCUCUCAAACAAAUAGAGUCGUUGGCUCUUUCACUGGGCUAAAAUAGGUGUCAUUGGACGCGCUGCAGGGAACCACCGGCGGACGCUCAAGCCCUGCGUCCGGUGCCCUAAAAACUACCACGUGUCACCCUUUCCACUUUCGCGCAUCGAUCUCUAACGGUCACCUGUAGAGCACUGCACGCGUCCUGUGCACACCGGUCUUGUGCGCAGAGAGGUCUGCAAAAAGCGCAAGCACCGGACUCGCACCACCGGACGUGCUACGCGGUACUGAGUGUCCGGUCCCUUACCCAGAGAGGUUUGCAAAACGCGUAGACACCAGACGCGCACCACUGGACGCACCCUGAGCGUCUGGUGCUCUUAGUCAAAGACUCCCGCAGAAGUCACGCAGCACUGGACGCGCCGAUAGGGUUUGAUCUGCGUCCGGUGCUCAGCUUCUGGUGCCUAACCCUAACAUCCUUGAAGCAGACAGCACACCGGACGCGCAGGCACUGUGUCCGGUGCCUCCGGGCCAGCGUCCGGUCUCCCGCGACUUCUCCAAAUUCCCCACCGACACAACAGAAAAUAUGCAUUUCAUUUUCUCAAAAGCGCCAAAUCCCGCCGAGCUUCUUCUCAAAGUGUGCUAACACCACCAAGUGUGUACUAACAAGUGCACUGUUGACGGUUCUUAAGUAUCAAUUUUAAUUAUCAAAUAAACAAGAGAAAGGACCAAUAUGCAACCAACACCUAGAAUUAGGGUUUGAUCUAACAGAAUUCCACGAGUUUUGUUGUUUAUCUGUUUCUGCAGGGGGUUAUCAGGAAAUAAGGAAGAAAGGCCCACAUGUCGGGAUUACAUAGAGAUAUCAACGCACCGCGCAAUUUUCUACCAUCUAGAAGACUCCAGAAGCCACGGGAAGAAAACAGAGGCCGAAAGGAGCCAGGCCCAGGGCGCCCGCCCUGGUGACCUGGGCGCCCGCCCCCUGCUGGAUUGCAUUCAGGACUCUCUUCGCACGGGAUGUUCCACCGACCUAUUGGAUCAAGGAAAACAUAGUACCACCUCGCCUACCGACCCAAAAAUGCAUAGAGGAGGAGGACUAUAUAAGGAGACCCCCAUGGCCCCUGGAGAAGACAUGAAGAAAUUAUCAUAGAGAUUGAGGGGUGCCCUCAAAGGAAAACCUCUUCUCUAAUUAAUAUUUCUUUUUAGGCUUAGCAACCAAUGUAAAGUAGAAAUAGAUCUUCUAGUUUCUACUAGAUUGAGAGAGAUAGAGUGGAGGUGUAGAUUGGAGGAAGCCCGGCCUGUCGGUGUCUACUCCAAGCUUGUACCUGCGGGAUCAAGUUCUCCUAACCCGAAGCUUGCUCCUAGGAUUCUUCAGUAUUUCGACUUCUAAAUUCUAGUAAGUUCUUGUUUUAUUGUUCUUAUGGUUUAUGAGUUUACUUUAAUCUCUUCACGUAGAGUUUAGAGUAAUCAUUGCUGGCGUAAACGUGGUGUUUAGGCUGGGGUACUCAUAGAUAUUCCCUGACUAGCUGGACCGUGGUAGUAGUGAGGAACGUGACAAUUCCGAGUUACCUUUGCAGACCAUAUCUCGUUAGCAGGAAGGAUAGGGUUUAUAGGUGCGGGUUGAACAUCCUUUGUGGUGUCUAGAUUCCGUUAGCCUCCCCAAUAGAACAGUAGAUCAUCCUUACCAAGGUUAGAAGGAGACUACGGUUGCAGUCUUCUCUAUUUAUCACUCACAUCGAAAGACAUUCUUUGUGCCUAAAGGGUUAGUAGUAAUAGACCGGUUAGUCAGAUGCACUCUUUCUCCUAGUGGUAAAAAAAUAAAUACGAUACUCUGGAUAAUUUCCCGGGUGAAGUGCUCACCGAUAUCCGUGCGCUUGCGGAUCAAUUCCUUAUUGCGUUCCCAAAUAUCAACAAGUAUUUCUGGCGCCGUUGCCGGGGAGAAAGACGGUUACUGAGAUAACUUGAGUCUUACUACUAGCUUGUAUCUAUACUUUUAUCUUUUCUUAUCUUUUAUAUUCUUUAUUUUCUUUACUCUUACCUUAUGGAAAACCAAAAUUCUAAAUCGAUCCAUGAGUCUGCAAUCCCUUCAGUAACUGACCUUUUACCAUGGGAAUCAUCACAGCCUAUCCAAACAUCCCAGUAUAAGUUAAGUUCUAGGUUGAUUGCCAUGAUUCAAAACCUAUCUUUUUCGGGAAAGGAAGACGAAAACCCUUACCUUCAUAUUAGAGAUUUUGAGCAAACAUGUGAUUGUCUUCGCAUUGAAGGCAUUUCUGAUAAAACUUUACGUUGGAAGCUUUUUCCUUUUUCUUUAAGGGGAGAAGCUAGACAAUGGUACAGUCAGAAGGUAAGUCAACAACAAGGUGAAUGGGGAGUUUUACGAGCCAACUUUUGUCUAGAUUUCUAUUCCCUCGACCGUAUAGCCGACCUUAGACUCGAAGUCCUAUCUUUUAAACAAAAAGAUAAUGAAACUUUGGGAAAAUCCUGGAAAUGUUUUUCAGAUCUUUUAGAAUCUGGUCCAAACCUUAAUCUUGAAGACCCUAUUCUUUUAUUUCACUUUUCUUGAGGUCUUCAGAAAAAUCACAAACAAAUGCUACACACAAUGUCUAGAGGUUCUUUCUUUUGCAUCCCUACUGAUGAAGCUAGAGUGAUCCUAUUUAGAAUCCUAGAAGCUGAGAUGGAUAAUACCCUUCAUGAUGAAACCUACGAAGCCAAAGUAGACACUCUGCCAAAUUCUUCAGCUACUUUAGCUAUCCCAAGUUCUAAGCCACAAGAGGAAGAAAUUCCACCACCGGACUUCAUGCUGGAUAUAGAAUCCGAUCUUUUUGCCGAUUUUGGAAACAUUUCAAAUUACCAUUCUAUUGACAAACCCCAAAACGGCCAGUUUAGCAUUUAUUUACCAAGUGAAUAUCAAUUGAGAGAGCUUAUCUCAGUAAUGAGUAGCAAAUGGUUGGAGGAAUCAGAGCUUUCCUCUGAUGUGAUCCGUUUGGACACACCCUCUAUAACUAUACGCUGUGCUUAUAAUUCUGAUCAAUUUAAUGCUCUUUAUAAUCCUGUUGUGGGGAUCAACAUCAUGUCUGAAUCUUUUGCACUUAAACUAUUUAAAAAUCUUGCCUUAACCCCCACAACAAAGGUCAUAAAGGAAUCUUCGGGACGAUUAGUCCCCAGUCUUGAAAUUAUUAAUGUCCUACCUCUUACGGUAGAAGACUGCAUGGUUCAUUUGAACUUCUAUAUCUUUGAUACAUGGGACUUCGACCUGUUGAUAGGACAACCUUUUAGAAGACUCCUUUAUGAAGGUCAUACUGGAAAGCUACACAUUUCUUUUAGAAAAACUUUUAAAUUCCCAAUAACAAUUUCACACUCCUUAAACAAUAAGGCCGAAUCAUAUCUUUUGCCUGAUCCUAUGGAGGAGGUAAAGGCUGCAUCUCUAGAGCUUUUAGAUGAACCAGACUUAGAAGACGAAACUCCUUUCUUCAUAGAAGAAGAAGCCGAACCUUCUUAACCUGAACCCUUAGAUGAGUUUGCAGAAACACCUAGACCCCCCAUAGAGCUUAAAACUUUACCACCCUGUCUUACAUAUGCUUUCCUAAACAAUAAUUCAGAGUUCCCUGUAUUCAUUAGCGACAAACUCACUCAGGAUCAAACUCUGCGAUUAAUGACCAUUCUUGAGAAACAUCACUCAGUUUUCGGCUACUCACUCCAAGAUCUUACAGGAAUCAGUCCUAUGAUUUGUACCCAUCGUAUUCCAACAGAUCCUUCUGUUUCACCUUCUCGAGAACCCCAACGUAGACUUAAUAACACUAUGAGAGAGGUAGUUAAAAAGGAAGUUAUAAAGUUGCUGCAUGCAGGGAUUAUAUAUCCUGUGCCGCAUAGUGAGUGGGUGAGCCCAGUACAAGUUGUGCCUAAAAAGGGAGGCAUGACUGUUAUUAUGAAUGAAAAGAACGAGCUAAUUCCGCAACGCACCGUCACAGGAUGGCGGAUGUGCAUAGACUAUAGAAAACUAAACAAAGCCACGAGAAAGGAUCACUUUCCUUUACCUUUUAUAGAUGAGAUGCUAGAGCGAUUAGCGAACCAUUCGUUCUUCUGUUUCUUAGAUGGAUAUUCAGGGUAUCAUCAAAUCCCAAUCCAUCCCGAUGAUCAAAGCAAAACCACUUUUACAUGCCCAUAUGGAACUUAUGCUUAUCGUAGAAUGUCUUUUGGGUUAUGUAAUGCACCAGCUUCUUUUCAAAGAUGCAUGAUGUCUAUAUUUUCUGAUAUGAUUGAAGAGAUUAUGGAAGUUUUCAUGGAUGAUUUCUCUGUUUAUGGAAAAACUUUUGAUAGUUGUCUUGAAAACUUAGACAAGGUUUUGCGAAGAUGUGAAGAAAAGCACUUAGUCCUUAAUUGGGAAAAAUGUCAUUUUAUGGUUAGGGAAGGAAUAGUGCAGGGACACCUAGUAUCCGAAAGAGGAUUUGAGGUAGACAAAGCUAAAAUUGAAGUGAUUGAACAACUACCUCCACCUAUGAAUAUAAAAGGAAUUCGAGGCUUUCUUGGCCAUGCUGGUUUUUAUCGUAGAUUCAUAAAAGAUUUUUCAUUUAUUGCUAGACCACUUACUCUUUUGCUAGCCAAGGAUGCUCCUUUCGAAUUUGAUGAUGCAUGUCUAACAUCUUUCAAUUUAUUAAAGAAAGCACUCAUCUCUGCACCAAUCAUUCAACCCCCUGAUUGGUCAUUGCCUUUUGAAAUUAUGUGUGAUGCUAGUGAUUAUGUUGUGGGGGCAGUUUUGGGACAAACUAAAGAUAAGAAGCAUCAUGCAAUUGCUUAUGCCAGUAAAACUUUGACAGGAGCUCAACUUAAUUAUGCAACCACUGAAAAAGAGCUUCUGGCUGUUGUCUUUGCCAUUGAUAAAUUUAGAUCUUACUUAGUUGGAGCUAAAAUAAUUGUUUACACUGAUCAUGCUGCACUAAAAUACUUGCUCACUAAAAAAGAUGCUAAACCUCGCCUGAUUAGAUGGAUCUUAUUACUCCAAGAAUUUGACUUAGAAAUAAAAGAUAAAAAGGGAGUAGAAAAUUCUGUUGCUGAUCACUUGUCUAUAAUGUAUUUUAAGAGUCCACAGGAAACCCCCAUCAAUGAUUCACUCCGGGACGACAUGCUCUACGGGAUUAACAGGUCGGACCCCUGGUAUGCAGAUAUUGUUAAUUUUAUGGUUUCAGGGUAUGUACCACCAGGAGCAAACAAGAAGAAGCUUAUUCAAGAAAGUCGUUCACAUAUAUGGGAUGAGCCAUACCUCUUCCGAGUAUGCUCUGAUGACUUACUCAGGAGAUGUGUGACCACUGAGGAAGGAUGGAAGAUCAUCGACAGAUGUCAUUCAUCACCAUAUGGAGGUCACUAUGGAGCAUUCCGCACACAUUCAAAGAUCUGGCAGUGUGGAUUCUACUGGCCUACAAUGUAUGAAGACACGAAGCAAUAUACCAGAAGAUGUGGGCCAUGUCAAAGACACGGAAACAUAAAUACAAGGGAUGCAAUGCCACUCACCAACAAGCUUCAGAUUGAGCUCUUUGAUGUCUGGGGAAUAGACUACAUGGGUCCAUUUCCUCCAUCAAAGAAGUGUGAGUACAUCUUGGUGGCAGUUGACUAUGUCUCCAAGUGGGUAGAGGCAUUACCUUGCAAGCAUGCCGACAAUGUCAGUUCAAAGAGGAUGUUUGAAGAAAUUAUAUUUCCAAGAUUCGGAGUCCCCAGAGUAGUGAUAAGUGAUGGAGGAGCACACUUCAUCGACAAACGCUUCAAGCAAUAUCUAUCAGAACAUGGAAUCCGUCACAACGUCGCUACCCCCUAUCAUCCUCAGACAAGUGGCCAAGCAGAGACUUCCAACAAACAAAUCAAGAAUAUUCUUCAGAAGACAGUAAAUGAAAUGGGAACGGCAUGGAAAGACAAGUUACCCGAUGCACUCUGGGCAUACCGGACAGCAUACAAGACCCCAAUUGGAAUGUCACCAUACCAAUAGGUGUACGGAAAGACUUGCCAUCUACCUAUUGAACUAGAGUUCAAAGCACACUGGGCCAUAAAGAGAUGGAACAUGGACCUAGAUGUUGCUGGAGAUUAUAGAAGAAUGCAACUAUCGGAAUUGGAAGAAUGGCGAGAGAAAGCAUAUCACAAUUCAAAGAUCUACAAAGAAAGAGUCAAAAGGUGGCAUGACAAGAGAAUCAAGAAGAAGGAGUUCACACCCGGAGAUAAGGUAUUACUUUUUAAUUCUAGGGUGAAGCUUUUCGGGCAUGGGAAGCUCUAGAGCAAAUGGGAAGGACCAUUCAAGGUAAUUAAUUCAUCAUCCCACGGAGCUAUCACACUUCAAAAUGAUGAAGGUACGUUAUUCAAGGUAAAUGGUCAACGUCUUAAAUUAUUUUUGGAGCCCAAUAAAGAAUUAGAAGAAAUAGACGUAGUCCAUUUUUACCUUCCCAUGGAAAAUUAGAGCCCGACCUUUUUAAUCUGAUGUUUUUGGGUCAUAUAUAUAUUUUUCUAAAUAAUUUCGCAUCUAGAAACGCGCUCGAGAAAGUGGGCCCACAGAGGGGCCAGAGAGAGGGCGGGUGCCCAGAUCAGGUGGGCGGGCGCCCAGCUCCUGUUCCCCCUCGGUCCCGAUUUUCUCUGUUAUGGAAAAUGCACUUAUGGUAAUCUGAAUAAUCCCUCGGAUGGAAAGUUUCGCACGCACAUCGACGGGAGCAGCCCGAACAACCCAUUGAGGCACUUUUUGACCCCUAUAUAAACCCCCUGACCUCAGCUUUCAAACACCGAGCCACCAAGCCUUCUCUCCUUCAAUUAGAGCUUGAUUAGUUCCUUGCUGCUCCAAUGGCCGAGAAGUACCACGAUGAUUGGGAAGUCGUCCCCUUCAACCUCAACAUGGAGCCUGUGGAAGACCCCAAUGCCCGUGCUCUCGUCCCGGCCAACACAGAGCGACAGCUAGAAGCCAUGCCAUUACGCCAGCGCAGCUCCGCCCAAUCCUAUCAUGCUCAACCAGUUCUCACCGCACCACCACAACCCCUACUUCUCAAGGGAUCAUCAUCCAAGACGAAGACCACUAUCAAGGUGCCAAUCGGCACGAGGAUCCUUCCACCUAGACCCAAUGAGAGGAUCAUUGGAGUCAAGACCAACCGGAGCGGCGAGAUCAGCAGCGUACGCUACACUACGGAGGAAGAAAGGACUUACUUUGAAGGGAUUAGAGCAGCCAAAGUCCGUUUCAUCUCUCCAAAGGCAGCCCUGAAGCACGCUCUCAACGCUUUUGAGACACCUCCCAAGCGUCGCAAGACUAUAAUGGAUAUUGAUGAGGACGUUCGCAGACUAGACAGAAUUAUCAUAGACCUCCAGUCCUCGAUUAAUUCCCUCACUAGGCAGCUCUCUAACCACAAUACCGUUAUAUUAGGCCUUAGGCAGGAUCUUGCUAGUGCCAUCAAGAAGAUUAAGGAGUUAGAGCGCCGCUAAGUUAUCUAGAUUAGACCUUGAGGCAAUGCAUCUUAGUUAUCUAUCUUUAAAUUCGGUUUAGGUUUACUAUUAUCAUCAGUUUGCUAUCAGUUCGCUACUAAUCUUUUGUAAUAAAUGCCUCAAGAUUAAUAAAGAGUAUUAUUAUUAUUAUGUCUUGUGUGUCUCUACUUUAUUUUUGUGCAAGAAAGCAGAAAACAAGUAUGGAGGAGAUCCCUCGACAUCCUAAACACACUCCGACUACACCACUCCACGAGUCAGGUACACACUCUGCAUACUUUACUUUACACAUACACAUAUCUUGGAUUAUGCAGAUUACUGUUUCUGACAUGAUACAUUAAAAAGAUUAAAAUAUUUCUAAUCAUGAUUAAACUCACUCUGUGAUAUUUCCUGAAAACUUGCAAUUAUUAUAAAAUCAUUUUAAAACCCUGUGUUACUUAAGACAGUAUGGAAUGUGAGAUAGUAGAGUAUGAGUUUCUUAUUCUUAUCAUUGUUGCUUGGAGAAUUCAUUUCAAAAUCUUUAAAAUUCUAGCUACCAUCCUCAGUGUUUUAUAUGCCUGAUAAAACUGAAAAUAUUAAUUAUGAUUAUAAAAGCUAUCUCCUCUGUAUUGAGUUUGUUCAAAAUGAGUUAGACCCUUGUUGAGAGAUUUAUCAUGCUCAUAAGAUCAAGACAUUUAUUCAGAAAGAUUCACUCUUCCGAAGUAUUAUUGCAUUAGAGGCAUGGGCUAUGCAAAAAUAAAGAUAUUUCGAGGAAAUAAAAAGGAGCAAGUGCUCGACAACCUCGUAGAAAAAAUGGACAAGUGUCCGGCAGUAGAAUUAGGGAUACCUCGGUAUCCACUUAAAAAAAAGAGAAAAAAGUGAUAGCCCAUGGUCCCUCUAAUAAGCAAUAUGCCAGCAAGAGUUGACAAAGAUUUUAAUUUCCAAAGUCUUUGAUCUAAGAGUAUGACAUUCCUCUCCUCGGAUCUCGUUUUGAUCAGGCAAUAAAUGUAAAGUAAGUAUGCUUAAGAAUUUUUGCAAAUUAAAACAGCCUCAGUGAGAUAUAUAAAAGAUAAUGAGUGAUCUGAGAAGAACCUAUGAGGAUAAAAAGGUAUGCUAACUUUUUUUCAAAAAUAUACAAAAACUCCAAGUGACAGGAUAGAGAAGAAAGGAUCUUUACUCUUAACCAUAAACAUCCCUGACUAUGGUACACAGUGGGUUUUUAACACCCUGCAAAUAUAAAGAAUGCUUGAAAAUGUUUUACCCCAAAUAUUGUUCUUAACCAUCCUUUUCUCGAGGACGAGUAAAAGCCUAAGUAUGGGGGUAUUUGUUGACGGUUCUUAAGUAUCAAUUUUAAUUAUCAAAUAAACAAGAGAAAGGACCAAUAUGCAACCAACACCUAGAAUUAGGGUUUGAUCUGACAGAAUUCCACGAGUUUUGUUGUUUAUCUGUUUCUGCAGGGGGUUAUCAGGAAAUAAGGAAGAAAGGCCCACAUGUCGGGAUUACAUAGAGAUAUCAACGCACCGCACAAUUUUCUACCAUCUAGAAGACUCCAGAAGCCACGGGAAGAAAAUAGAGGCCGAAAGGGGCCAGGCCCAGGGCGCCCGCCCUGGUGACCUGGGCGCCCGCCCCCUGCUGGAUUGCAUUCAGGACUCUCUUCGCACGGGAUGUUCCACCGACCUAUUGGAUCAAGGAAAACAUAGUACCACCUCGCCUACCGACCCAAAAACGCAUAGAGGAGGAGGACUAUAUAAGGAGACCCCCAUGGCCCCUGGAGAAGACAUGAAGAAAUUAUCAUAGAGAUUGAGGGGUGCCCUCGAAGGAAAACCUCUUCUCUAAUUAAUAUUUCUUUUUAGGCUUAGCAACCAAUGUAAAGUAGAAAUAGAUCUUCUAGUUUCUACUAGAUUGAGAGAGAUAGAGUGGAGGUGUAGAUUGGAGGAAGCCCGGCCUGUCGGUGUCUACUCCAAGCUUGUACCUGCGGGAUCAAGUUCUCCUAACCCGAAGCUUGCUCCUAGGAUUCUUCAGUAUUUUGACUUCUAAAUUCUAGUAAGUUCUUGUUUUAUUGUUCUUAUGGUUUAUGAGUUUACUUUAAUCUCUUCACGUAGAGUUUAGAGUAAUCAUUGCUGGCGUAAACGUGGUGUUUAGGCUGGGGUACUCAUAGAUAUUCCCUGACUAGCUGGACCGUGGUAGUAGUGAGGAACGUGACAAUUCCGAGUUACCUUUGCAGACCAUAUCUCGUUAGCAGGAAGGAUAGGGUUUAUAGGUGCGGGUUGAACAUCCUUUGUGGUGUCUAGAUUCCGUUAGCCUCCCCAAUAGAACAGUAGAUCAUCCUUACCAAGGUUAGAAGGAGACUACGGUUGCAAUCUUCUCUAUUUAUCACUCACAUCGAAAGACAUUCUUUGUGCCUAAAGGGUUAGUAGUAAUAGACCGGUUAGUCAGAUGCACUCUUUCUCCUAGUGGUAAAAAAAUAAAUACGAUACUCUGGAUAAUUUCCCGGGUGAAGUGCUCACCGAUAUCCGUGCGCUUGCGGAUCAAUUCCUUAUUGCGUUCCCAAAUAUCAACAUCCACGUGUGUUAGCUUUUUCAUAAUCAUUUUCUUUGAAGAAGUUAAGUUAGCUCACUAGGUUCUAAAUGCAUGCACAAGAACAAUGACACCUAGUGGCACUUGAUAACCGCUUAGCCAAAGAAUUCCCCUCUUUAUAGUACGGCUAUCUAUCCUGAAUGUGAUCACACCCUCUAUGGUGUCUUGAUCACCAAAACUAAAACCCUAAGCAAUACCUUUGCCUUGAACUCCAUAGGGUUUUGUUUUUCUCUUUCUUCUUUUCCAAGUUGAGCACUUGAUCAUCUUGUGGUUAUCAUCAUCAUCACCAUGAUCAUCUCUUGCUCCAUCACUUGGCAUGUACCAACCUCAUUAAUUCUACACACACUUAGUAUAGAGGUUAGUACUAGGGUUUCAUCAAUUAUCCAAAACCAAACUAGAGCUUUCAAUCUCCCCCUUUUUGGUAAUUGAUGACAACCCUUUUACAAAGAUUUUCAAUAAAAUUUUCUUGGAUUCAUGUUGCUUGCCCAAGCAUUUUACCAUGUGCAAAGGUUAUGGACAAGUUUCAUAAACCCAAAUUGGUAGCAAUUCCUCCCCCUACAUAUGUGUUAAGAGUUUGGAUUUGAAAGCUUGCACAUAUGCUUGAAUAGGAAAUAUAGGAGUCAAAAAUGAUGCUAAGGUGUAAAGAAUGGACCUUUGAAGCGUGAUACCAAUCGGAGUUGCCAAUAUACACCAUCCUUAGCACCAUUAGUAACUAGACAUUCACAAGACUAGAAUGCUCCAUGAGAUCAACAUUAUAAACAAGGUUCUAGUACCACUUGUGAAAUAACUAAAAGUCUAGUUACACUACCCAUGCAUGCUAGUUCUUCAUUUCAUCAAUCAAACCUAUAACUAGCAUACACCACACAAGCAAGGUACCGAAGAGAGAGCUUCUAAAGCUAAUGCAAAUGCAAGCAAACAUAUGUGAUGCACAUUCAAAUGCAACAUACAAGUUUAUGAGCUUGCUCCCCCUACUUGUGUGAUUCAAAAUUUUAAUUGAUCCCCUUCUUUUAUCAUGUUACUUCCCUAUCUUUGUAUUUCUUUGUGAUUUCUCUCCCCCUUUAGCAAAUCUUUGGGAAAUUCUAAUUCUCUACCCCUUUGUCAUCAAUGACCACAAAAGGUGAGCUCAAAUUUUAGAUAGGUUAGUGUGAAACCAUGUGAAGUGAGAUCAUUUUCCCAAAUUGGUCCAAUCUAGAUUACUUAUAAGGGUUAUCUUAUAAGCUAUGACCACACAAGCAAUUCUAAUUCUCUCCCCCUUUGUCAUCAAUGACCACACAAGGUGAGCUCAAAUUUAACUCAGUUUGAUCCAAGGACAAGCUUCUUCACACCUCCAAAUAAGGGUUAUCUUGUAGCAUGUUGAGUUAAACACUUAUAGCUCAUAUUCUAGAUCAAACACUAGGAUUGCAAGCCCACAAACAUGUUAUAUGCUACCACUAGAUCAAGUCAAGCAUAGAAGCAAUAGUGGUACCAUACAAGCAUCAAAUUCAUUUGAUUUUCAUGAAUGAGCCUAAGACAUGUAAGGAAUGACUAGAUGCACUAAGCAAGUCCUUAGCACAGGAUGAAUGAUAUGUCAAAUAAUUUUACCUUGCUUUGCUCGAAGGAGAGGCAUGUCAUAUAGUGGGGGUGCAUCAACACAUAUUUGAGAAGUCAAGUAUGUUCAAUUCAUUCCUUAGCUUGCAAAACCUCUUGUCAUCAAGUGGCUUGGUGAAUAUAUCAGUAAGUUGAUCAUCGGUGCCUAUACUCUCAAUGCAAAUGUCACCUUUUUGUUGGUGAUCUCUUAUGAAGUGAUGGCAGACAUCUAUGUGCUUUGUUCUUGAGUGUUGAACUGGAUUAUUAGUGAGCUUCACGGCACAUUCAUUGUCACAUAGCAAUGGCACUUGCUUGAAGUUGAUUCCAAAAUCUUUCAAGGUUUCCUUCAUCCAUAGGAUUUGUGCACAACAACUACCGGCCGCAAUGUACUCCGCUUUGGCGGUUGAUAGUGCAACACUAUUUUGUUUCUUGGAUGACCAUGAGACAAGUGAUCUUCCCAAUAGUUGACAUGUGCCUGAUGUGCUUCUUCUUUCAACUUUGCAUCCCGCAUAGUCCGAGUCAGAAUAUCCAACAAGUUCAAACUUUGCACCUUUGGGAUACCACAAACCAACAUUUUGUGUAUGCUUCAAGUACCUCAAUAUUCUCUUUGUUGCUUUAAAAUGGCUUUCUCUUAGUUAGGCUUGGAAUCUUGCACACAUGCAUACACUAAACAUGACGUUUGUGAGAUAGAGUAAGCUUCCAAUCAUAGACCGAUACAACUUUUGAUCCACCAUAUUUCCGCUUGUAUCACUAUCUAGGCUUUCAUUUGUUCCCAUUGGUGUGCUAAUUGAUUUUGCAUCAUCCAUACCAAACUUCUUGAGCAUGUCAUUUAUGUACUUUCCUUGACUUACAAAUGUGCCAUUCUUCAGUUGCUUGAUUUGAAAACCAAGGAAGUAACUAAGCUCUCCAAUCAUUGACAUCUCAAACUCAUUAGCCAUCCUGUUGCCAAACUCCUCACAAAAUUCUUGAUUGGUUGAUCCAAAUAUGAUAUCAUCAACAUAGAUUUGCAACACAAACAAGUCCUUUCCAAUUUUCUUGAUGAAGAGAGUGGUGUCAACCUUGCCCAUCUUGAAACCUUUAGAGAGAAAGAAAUCUCAUAAUCUCUCAUAUCAUGCUCUAGGUACUUGCUUCAAACCAUACAAUGCCUUUCUUAGCUUGUAAACAUGGUUGGGUUUCAUGUCAUCUUCAAAACCGGGAGGUUGCUCAACAUAGACUUCUUCAUUGAUAUAGCCAUUGAGAAAUGCACUCUUCACAUCCAUUUGAUAUAACUUGAUGUUAUGUGCACAAGCAUAGGCCAACAAGAUCUUAAUUGCUUCCAAUCUUGCAACUGCGGCAUAUGUUUCACCAAAGUCAAGACCUUCAAAUUGAGUAUAACCUUGUGCUACCAAUCUUGCUUUGUUCCUUACAGCUAUCCCAUCUUGAUCUUGUUUGUUGCGAAAGACCCAUCUAGUACCAAUGACAUUAUGAUCACUAGGCCUCUCAACCAAUUCCCAUACUUGAUUUCUUUUGAAGUUGUUAGGGGAUGUUUGGUUGCUAGCCAUAGUUUACCACAACUAACUUUAGGCCAGUGUGGCAAGCCACAAAAAGUGUGGCUAGCAAAUUGGUUGCCACACUUUGCCAUGCCUAAAGGAAUAUUGCCACACUUUUUAACUCUAUGACAUGUGGAGCCCAAAAGAAUCAUGCCUAAACUUAGUUGUCAACCAAACACUUGCCAACUUGGUCAAACUUGCCUAAGAUAAAGUAUGGCAAAUUGUGGCUAGCAACCAAACAGCCCCAGCUCUUCAUGCAUAGCAUUAACCCAAUAAACAUCUCUCAAGGCUUCAUCUAUCUUCUUUGGCUCAAUGUGAGACACAAAGGAGAAAUGCUCACAAAAUGAUGCUAGUCUUGAUCUAGUUUGCACUCCUCUUUGAAUGUCACCAAUGAUAUGAUCUAAUGGAUGAUCUCUUACAAUAUUUGUUGGUUGGAGUAUUUGCACUUGAUUGCUUGCACUUGGUUGAUCAUGAGAUGGUGUACUAGCUUGUUGAUCUUGUACUUGUGUACCACUUGUACUAGCUUGAUUUUGAUCAUGAGAACCACUAGCUUGCACAUUAGAGGUAGGAAGCACUUGAUCUUUGUCAUCUUCAACAUCAAUCACCUCUCUAGGCCUUAAAUCACCAAUGUCCAUAUUCUUCAUUGCAUCAGCCAAUUGAGUGCCUCUCACAUCAUCUAGAUUCUCAUCUUCCUCUUGAGAGCCAUUGGUUUCAUCAAACUCAACAUCAUGCACUUCCUCAAGAGUACCACUAGCCAAAUAAAAAACUCUAUAAGCUUUGCUAGUAGUGGAGUAACCGAGCAAGAAACCUUCAUCACAUUUAUUUUCAAAUUUACUCAAUCUAGUGCCUUUCUUCAAUAUGUAGCAUUUGCAACCAAAAACCCGAAAAUAUGCAAUAUUGGGCUUUCUUCCAUUCAAGAGCUCAUAUGGAGUCUUCUCCAUCAUUGGGUGACAAUAGAGUCGGUUGCUAUAGUAGCAAGCCGUGUUGAUUGCUUCGGCCCAAAAAGAAUGACUUACAUUGUACUCACUCAACAUUGAUCUUGCCAUGUCAAUCAAGGUUAAAUUCUUCCUCUCAACAAGACCAUUUGAUUGUGGAGUAUACUUGGCCGAGAAUUGAUGCCUAAUACCAAAUUCAUCACAAAGCUCAUCAACUCUUGUGUUCUUGAAUUCACUUCCAUUGUCACUUCUCACUUUCUUGAUGGUCGUUUCAAACUCAUUGUGUAUUCUCUUGACAAAUGAUUUGAAGGUUGCAACAGCAUCACUCUUGUCACUAAGAAAGAAUGUCCAUGUGUAUCUUGUGAAAUCAUCCACUAUCACAAAUCCAUAUUUAUUUUCACCAAUGCUUGUGUAUGUGGUUGGUCCAAAUAAGUGCAACAACUCAAAUGCCUUGCAUGUACUCAUGAUUGUCUUCUUUGGAUGAGUGUUGCCAACUUGUUUUCUGGCUUGACAUGCACUAUAAAGCUUGUCUUUCUCAAAUGUAACAUCUUUUAAGCCUCUAACAAGAUCAUGCUUGACUAACUUGUUAAAUUGUUUCAUUCCAACAUGACCAAGCCUUCUAUGCCAUAACCAACCCAUGCUAGAUUUAGUGAGCAAGCAUGUUGAUAACUGAGCUUCACUAGCAUUGAAAUCAACUAAGUAUAGAUUCUCAUAUAUAAAGCCUUUGAAUAUCAAUUUAGAGCCAUCUACACUUAUGAUCUCUACAUCAUCAACUCCAAAUAUGAAUUUGAAACCAAGAUCACAAAGUUGAGCUACGGAUAGUAAGUUGAAGUUCAAGCUCUCUACUAGUAGCACAUUGGAAAUGCUCAAGUCAUUGGAUAUAGCAAUUUUAUCGAGCCCUUUGACCUUGCCUUUGCCAUUGUCACCAAAUGUGAUACUAUCAACACCAUUGUCAUCAUUUGGAUUGAUUGAAUUGAACAUUCUUGAAUCACCGGUCAUGUGUUGUGUGCACCCACUAUCAAGCACCCAAUGCCUUCCUCCGGCUUUAUAGUUUACCUACAAAACAAAUCAAUGUUUCUUAGGUACCCAUACUUGUUUGGGUCCUUGGAGGUUAGUGACUAAGCUCUUUGGUACCCAAAUGGCCUUCUUCUUUGGACCCACAAUUGGUGUACCAACAAACUUAGCAUGCACACCCUUCUCACCCUUGGUAAGCACAUAACAAGAAUCCAAAAGGAAUGUAAUGUACAUUAGCAAUUUUCUUGUUCUUAUUCAUUUUAUUGAAAUUAAGCUCUAGGUGCCCAACUUGCUUGCAUCUAUUGCAAUACUGACCAUUGCUCUUCACAAAACUUGUUUUGUGAGUUGCAAAGGCCUUCUUGCCUUUAUUGGGAGUAUAGCCUAAUCCCUCUUUGUUGAGAAAAAACCUUUGGCUACCCAAGCACUUUAGCAAGCGGGCUUCACCUCCAUAGGCCUUGCCUAGGGCAUGAGUGAGCUCAUCCACCUUAGUUUUGAGAGUCUCAUUCUCAACCUUUAGUGAAGCAUCACAAGUGACACUAACACUAGAAGUGGAGGUAGAGUUGGUGGUGGUGGAUGAAGACCUACAAGAAGAGUUAGUGGCAACAACAAUAGGUGGGCUGGGUGAUUCCUUAAUUAAGUCACAUGUUGUGCCCACAUCAUAUGAUACAACAACAUUUUCCUUAUUCUCUUCUAAUAACAAGGAGUGAGCUUUUUCAAGCUUGGUGUGAGCUUUGCCAAGCUUCUCAUGGGCAUCCACUAGCCUCUCAUGAGUAGCAUUGAGCUCAUCAAAGGAUUGCUCAAGAGCUUUUAACUUCUUGGUCAAUUCUUUGCACUUUUUGUUUUUAGAUUGAAUAAGUAAAUCGGCUUGUUCUAGCAAGUCCAUGAGUUGUUCAUUAGUGAAUUCAUCAUCAUUAUCACUAUCACUAUCAUGUUCAUUUUCACUUUCACUUUCACUCUCAUCAUAUUGUACCUUGUGGCCCUUGGCCGUGAAGCAUGAAGGAGUGUCGAAGAGUGAUGGCUUGUUGAUAGCAAUGCUUGCAAGCGCCUUCUUCUUGGAUGCCUUGUCAUCAUCACUAGAAUCAUCAUCCAAAGAAGCAUCACUAUCCCAUGUCACAACAUAGGAUCCACCCUUCUUCUUCUUCUUGAAGACCAUCUUUUUCUCUUUCUUUUCUUUCUUCUUCUUGUUCUUCAUGUCAUCCUCAUCAUUGUCACUAUUGUAAGAACAAUCCGCCACAAUACGAUCGGGGCUCUUGCACUUGUAGCAUAGCCUCACAUGUGUUGACACUUACUAACACCACUUGGAUACUAGGUUGUCAUCCCCAGCAUGGUGCCAGAGUGUACAAAUGUAUUUAUGAAUGUAAAGGCUCUCUAGAAAAUAAUCUAUUCUAUCCGCAAGCACACAGAUAAAAUACCUCAUUGUAGCAUUUCACCAGGAAAGUAUUCUAGGUAUCGUUAUUUAUAAUUUUGCUUAAGAGAACAGUAGAAAUGAAGAUAAGGAUAAAAUCUAUCCAGGCAUAGACUAGAGAUAAACUUGCAAGAACAUGAUUACUAAUGAGGAACUCAUCACACAGUCACUUACUUUGGCAGGGGGUAAGCCAUAAUAAUAAUGAUAAUGAAAUAUAAGCUCAUGGGUAAAUAGCACAGCGAUUAGAAAAUAGACUACUCCUCAUAUAUGUAAGGUGACGUCGGAUUAGCUAGAGAAUGGAUUCUAAGUUAUCUACUAUCUACUAAGUCACAAUCUACUCUAGUUAUCUACAAGAUCAUAUAUAGCAUAAAAGACUCUUCAUUCAUGUAUAAGGAACAUUGCUAAAGUAAAUCAGAACAUCGCAAGACUUACUCCGCAAUACAAAUUCUGUCUGUCCUAUCAACGGAGGGUGGACUAUAUAAGAAUCAACAAAGCUGUCACUAUCGCGAACUACCACACGACCCGGCCAAUAGGAUACAUUUGCACGUAAAUAACAUCUAAGCACCACGUCAACGAUGUGAUCUACCACUUAACUCCCGCGCGUCAAGAGCUAAGCGCUUUGCAAACUUAUACAUAAACUCAUUAUCAAUUAUAACUAUAUCAAAUAUAGAACUAGAACAAACUAGGAACAUAAUAAAUAGAGACAUGAUGCAAUUAGAAUAAAGUAGUAGAGAAAGAUAUGAAAUAAUACCAAUCUUUAUUGAUGAAGAUCCGAAACCAGAGCGCUAGGCUCUACUUCUCUAAUUCUAUCUAAUAAAUCCUAUAGAACUUGAAGGAUUAGGGAGUAGCUAAUUCUAAUUCUCUGUGGGAGAGAAGUUCUAAAACCCUAACUUUGAUGGCUUCCUCUGAUAAAGAUUUCUCCUCUCUCCCCCUAGGGUGGAGAGGCCUUGCUUAUAUAGUCCCCUCAAGUGAAUUUGGGCCGUCGGAUCAAACCGACAUUGAUCGCACGAUUUUCCUUGAUCCUUUAGGUCGGUGGAGCAUAAUCCGCGAGGUUGGUUGUGAUUGGCCCCGAGGCCAGGGUGGGCGCCCAAGGGGGGAGGGCGGGCGCCCUGCCCCCAAGCCCGUCCGGUCUCCCGUUCGUUCCCGUGGCUUCUGGACUCUUCUAGAUUAAGGAAAAUUGCGCGGCACGUAAUUAUCUCAUUGUAAACCUGACAUGUGGGCCUUCUCUCCAUAUUUUCUGAUAACCCCCUAUAGAAAUAGACAAACACCAAAGCUCGUGGAAUUCUAUCAGAUAAAACCCAAAUUCUAGAUGUUUGGUGCAUAUUGAUCCUUUUCCAUGUUUAGUUGAUGAUUAAAUUUUGUACUUAAGGACCGUCAACAAACUCCCCCAAGCUUACCCUUUGCUCGUCCCUGAGCAAACAGCUAAACUCAGAUGGAUCAGGAGUUGCUUCGCUGUUUUCUUUCCUGACAGGCACACAUGCUUUCACAUAAAAAAUUAUUCUAGAUUAGAGUGAAGUAUCAUGGAGCUUAGUACCUGCACUUAAGUCUUAAGUAAUUGAAAGACAAAAUAAUUAAGUCAAGCACUAUUCCUCCUGUCAAUACUUCACCUUUGUUCGGGAGUUUUGCAUAAGUUUUCAAAAAUAAAACUCAGAGUUCCCAGCUAUGAUUCUCUCAAGUGUCUCUAUAUGUGGUUUUUGUGGAUCCUUACCAAAAAUGUCACUUACCUAUAGCUAAUGGAAUAUUUAAGAGGAGCUCAUAGGAGUGAAAAACAGCUCAUACAUAUGUUGUCUAAUCGAGCCAUGGAUCCAAAGGAACUCAACAUAUAAUUAAAUCAAGAUGUGCAUAUGUGUGAUGAUAAAGCUUACUUCUCAUUGCUCCUCAUAUUGCUAUCUCUCUUCCUCUUGAUCUUUGCUUUGGGAGAACAUGGGCUAUCUUUUUUUCUUCUUUGCUUCUUUUUUUUAGGUGGGUAGUAAAUACCCCUAAUUCUACUGUCGGACAUUUGUCCAUUUUUCCCGCUCAGGUGGGCAUCUUUGUGCCCCUAAUUCUACUCCGGACACUUGUCCAUUUUUACCUCUCGUCUCACUCUUUUUCUUUCUUUUUCGAGGUUCCGGGCACUUGCCCCUUUUUAUUUCCUCGCAUAUUUUUGCAUAACCCAUGCCUCUUCUGCAUUGAAUCUUUUUUGGAGAGAGAGAAUAACAACACUUGGGACAGUGAGUGAUAAUAUUUUUAGAAAUUUUAAUAAAUGGUGGUCCAUGGUGUAGUAGAUGUGUGCAAGUGAAUAUCUUAAUUUAACCACAUGAAAAGCUCCUAAGGGUCUACACAGCUCGAUCAAACUCAAUGUGAAUAUAGUAAAAGAUGUUAUGGCAAGUAUGGUUGUGGUAGGAAUUUUGUCAUGCUAGGAACUCAUCAUGUGAUUUGCAAGUUUUCAAAAUAAAUCUCUAGAACUUAGUGUUGUAAGAACAAGAUAAACAGUAGCUCAAACUUUAUAUCAUGUCCUCUUCUUACCUAGACUUUAGUUUUAGGUUCGUGCUUCCCAUAGAUAGUAAAUUUUAGUUUUAGUAAUUCCUGGAAGAACUCUAAUAUAAAAGCUAGGUACUUGAAAGUAAGCAAACAGAACAACUGUUCAUCAUUUCCAUCAAGCAUCUUUUUGGUCUUUUAUUUUUUCCUAGAGAUUAACACUUAGCAGGGAAAAUAAAGCACACUUAUCUACACACUCUUUUUAUUCUGUUUUCAUGUUUAUAAAAUGCAGUAAAUUAAAGCAAGA
This 36539-nucleotide long non-coding RNA is filed under the name Sorghum bicolor (sorghum). Its description in RNAcentral is "long non-coding RNA (SBIC_LNC005277)". The stretch from base 5257 to 5363 matches the Rfam family "Plant small nucleolar RNA R71". Lineage: Eukaryota; Viridiplantae; Streptophyta; Magnoliopsida; Poales; Poaceae. The record is from RNAcentral.